This is a long non-coding RNA of Hylaeus anthracinus, 1146 nucleotides long. RefSeq lists it as uncharacterized. Lineage: Eukaryota; Metazoa; Arthropoda; Insecta; Hymenoptera; Colletidae. The transcript has 4 exons. The record is from RefSeq and is a predicted model, not a curated record.
UAUACAUUGUAUUUUAUUAGGUAGACUGGAAAGUAAUGUCGUUUGUGCAAUUUUAAAUCCUUGUUUAUCACUCAACACCUCGUUGAUUUUGAUCGGUCAUUGAACAUUUGCACACUAGGUGGCUGUUGAUAACGAGAGCGAUUACAUAAUUGCUUAAAAAUAGAAAUUUAUCAAAAAUUUAUUUGAAUUUAGUGUAAAAGAAACGACAUUACUUUUCAGUCUAUCUACAGAUAGUAACAUAUAGUAUAAUAUAUACUAUUAUAAUAGUAUUACUAUCUCGAGCUCCUCAGACUAGAAUCGUCUCUGUCGAUAACGACAGACAUCUGAUUCCUUCAGGUGUCGUUUGAUUUAUCAAGCAAAACUUCUCGCUCGCUCCCUCGAAUUCAGCAAUUUAUUUAACCAGUUCUCGUUUCGUAGAUCUCUCGCGGCCAAGAUUCUGGGUGGCCUUUUGAAUCGCCUUGAGCUGGCUCCGUUGACCAGGCGUUGUUCACGGAUGAAGAAUUCGAAGAAUUGUCGGACUCUUUGGUUAUCCCGUCGAAGUCUGAAGCAUGACUUCGAGCGACGUGUUUAACAUCCCCGAUAUCUUCCGGACGCGCUUUUGGUCGCCGAUGGAAACUUGUAGCUCGCCUUAGGAUGCCGACCUCUGCUCGAGAUCGCUCUCCCAGGAACCAAUGGCUUGAUAUCUUCCACCUUCAACAACAUACAUAUUAUACACCUUCGAACGGAACUGGUUUCCUCGGAGACGUCCUAUGACUGUGGAACCUCGUUACUUGACUGAUCAGACUCAUGUACGAUGGCUCUUGGAUGUCUUCUGCAAACCGACCCACUUCCGGUCUUACGAAUCGAUCAUUUCUCAUUGUCGUGGAUUCUUCGCGUCUCGCACUUUGUACUUGAGGGCGAUAACGAAGAGUUGGAGUCAUGUUAGAUAUUCUAACAUACGAUGGUCCCGAUUCUGAGGUCGAUGCUGUCUUCUGAGGUUGCUGCUGUCGUGCAACGUGUUGCUGCAAUGGCAGCUUCGGAUUUUCCAUUCACACUCAGCUCACUGUGAUCUUCGUAAGAUCGAGGGUUCGAGCUUAGUGUGGGUACAUCUGUGGAUGAUUCAUCAGGUUCCAAUUUACUCGUCGAGGAUCCCUCGAGAGUUUCUUC